UACGUAGGGUGCAAGCGUUAAUCGGAAUUACUGGGCGUAAAGCGUGCGCAGGCGGUUAUAUAAGACAGUUGUGAAAUCCCCGGGCUCAACCUGGGAACUGCAUCUGUGACUGUAUAGCUAGAGUACGGUAGAGGGGGAUGGAAUUCCGCGUGUAGCAGUGAAAUGCGCAGAUAUCAGGAAGAACACCCGUGGCGAAGGCGGCUCUCUGGGACGGUACUGACGCUGAGACGCGAAAGCGUGGGGAGCGAACAGG
RNAcentral lists this ribosomal RNA (253 nucleotides) under uncultured bacterium. Its description in RNAcentral is "partial 16S ribosomal RNA". It matches the Rfam family "Bacterial small subunit ribosomal RNA", at positions 524 to 776 of the family's 1533-position model. The record is from RNAcentral.